UACGUAGGGUGCAAGCGUUAUCCGGAAUUAUUGGGCGUAAAGAGCUCGUAGGCGGUUUGUCGCGUCUGCUGUGAAAACUGGAGGCUCAACCUCCAGCCUGCAGUGGGUACGGGCAGACUAGAGUGCGGUAGGGGAGAUUGGAAUUCCUGGUGUAGCGGUGGAAUGCGCAGAUAUCAGGAGGAACACCGAUGGCGAAGGCAGAUCUCUGGGCCGUAACUGACGCUGAGGAGCGAAAGCAUGGGGAGCAAACAGG
Molecule: ribosomal RNA, 253 nt
Filed under: uncultured bacterium
Lineage: Bacteria
Description: partial 16S ribosomal RNA
Rfam family: Bacterial small subunit ribosomal RNA
Source: RNAcentral